GAGAAGAAUUUAAGAUCUGCUAACUCUUUACUCUGAUAUUAAUACAUCAGUCUUCUUU
RNAcentral lists this transfer RNA (58 nucleotides) under Melanophidium punctatum. RNAcentral describes it as "tRNA-Ser". The record is from RNAcentral. Lineage: Eukaryota; Metazoa; Chordata; Lepidosauria; Squamata; Uropeltidae.